AAGUGGACCGUGCUUUAAAGUUGUUAUGUAUUUAAGGGAGACCGUAGCCUUACAUAUACUUUGCUAGCGUCAAUUACUUCCGAAGAAACGUACGUUAAAGAGAGAGGGGGUGGAGAGAGGGAGAGGAGUCCUGGCUGUUCAGCUAGUUCUGCUGGAGCUCGGCUUCCCUGCGCCGGGUCCCGGUCUCCCCGCCCCCCUCCGGGCGUCGCGCGUCUCGCGGCUUCCCUCCCCUCUCAGCUGGAGAGAGAGCUUCGCCGUCCCUCCUGAGCCGGGGAGGGGAGGAGCGACGCGAAAAGGGGCGGAAGUGCAAACAAGAGCCCGAGGAGAGCGAGCGAGCUUCGGCUUGCCGUCUGCUCUCACACGCUCGCGAGUUUGCUGGGAGCGCCUGCGCGUCGUCGGUGUGCUGCUGCUGCUGCUGCUGCUGCCUGUGCGCCCUGAACUCCGCGCGCCUCGGAAAGAGGCGCACUCCUGUCCGUGGCACUGGGGCGAAGUCUCAAGAGUGCCUGUCUGCCUGCCUCUCCCUUUCCCCCCCUUUCAAAGACCUGUGAUCGAGUAAACGGGAAGUGAGCAGCCAGCUAUAAUCUUGUUUGUUAGGUGCCUGCGCUGCCUCUCCUUGGGGUCCUUUCCCCAGCUUCACUUCCCCCUUGAAAAAGAAAAUCACAUUUCAUCAGCAAGACUUUAGCUAGCCGUUCCUGCAGCCUGCUGACAAACCUGUAACCCGGACGUGGCAAAAGACAGCAUGGAGGGGGAAUGAGUCUUAGGGAACACAUUCAGGGCAGGGCAGGUUGAAGGGUGUGGGAUUGUUUGAUGGCUCUGUUUUUCUGGCCGUUGUCAGGGCUUUGGUAACUAGGCUGCAGCCAGAUAGAAAAAGUAGAAGUCCCCUGUGUGUGUGUGCACAUACAUGCACACCCACAUGGUAUAUGGUUAGUGUGGCUGGA
This 938-nucleotide long non-coding RNA is filed under the name Podarcis muralis (Common wall lizard). RNAcentral's name for it is "lncRNA (ENSPMRG00000019884.1)". The record is from RNAcentral. Lineage: Eukaryota; Metazoa; Chordata; Lepidosauria; Squamata; Lacertidae.